CUCCUCUAGUAAUCUUGCCUCACGAUGACAACGACUUAGGGAGAGAGAUGGUGCGAUGAUGCUGCAGCAAGCCGCUCGUCACGGUUGUCAUGGCAACCAAGAUAUGGUCCCCUGUGGUCCAGCAACGCAGAUGCAAAAGGUGGAAAUAUACAUCAUGAUCCACUCAACAAUAACAACCACAAAAAAAGGGCUGGAAACUUGUACGGACUUUUUUCAGAAUUAAGACAGAUCCACAGAGUGCACUAAGUGACUACUUAUGUGCUUACGACAACCUUUAAACAAGACUUUGUUUCUGGAUCCAGACAGUCACGUAUAAGAGAGGAGAAAAUAGAAAAAAAAAUCCAUGCAAGCAAAAGCAGAAUAAAAGCAAACAUCCAGUUAAUUUCAGAAUUGCUCCCAGCUAUUCCCAAACCGGACCCUGGAGUGACAGAAGCACCAGCCAAUGGAGCACCAAGAUAGAGACAUUUCAUCAUCGGGGCUCUCUUUAAUUAGUUGAUCCUUCCUUGAGAGCAGGGCCAAUGCCUCCUAGCAACGCCAGAGCACAGCAGCCUUUUGCGAAACAGCCUUCCCUUAACCCUGUCAUGGGUGGCAGAAGCAAACCAGCAAACAAAGGCUGGAAAAAAAGUGAGACGCCUGGAUCUUUCAGGCUGCUUUACUUAAGCGCAUCCUCUGAACUGUUCUAUCCUUUCUGCUUUUAUAUUGCAAUAAAAUUGCAGUGCUAAUUUUAAAGAGGAAUGAGAAAAGACGUGAAAGACUAAAAAUAUAGAAAUUAAUUUUGAAACUGGUGAUGGCUCAGUGGGAUUGGAAAAACACCUUUCUCCAAAAUAAUAAUAGGAAGUGUCACAACUAGGCACUAGAAGUGGAGGAUUGUACAAUUUUCCCCAUGAAAUGACUCCCCCGCAAACACACUUUAGGAUAAUUUUCAAACACAUCAAAAGUAUUGAGAAACCCGGGGAGAUUUCUUUUUAUUUGCCUUGCUAUUCCAGCAUGGAAAUUGCUCAGUUCCUCAGAGGUACAUUGUGGAAUUAACACAGUUUAAUGCUACUUGGAACUGCCAUAGUUGAAUGUAAUGGAAUCAUGGGAAUGUAGUUUUACAAAGUCUUGAGCCUUCUCUGUCUAAGAGUGCCAGUGCCUCAUGAAACUACAGCUCCCAUGAUUCCACUGCAUUGAGCAGUUAAAUUGCUGUCAAAUUUAAUCGAUUCUACAAUGUUGAUGCAGUCCAAAAUUUGGUUGUUCGAUGACACCUGCUUGUGAUGGCAUUCUGGACCACGUAGAGUGGGAUGGACUAAAAAGAGUUUAAGAUAUCUCUGGAAGAUCUUAAUCUCUGUGGCGGUUCAUACCUGUCCAAUGAUUUUCCUGUGUGGCUGUGCAAUCACAGAACAAAAAUAUGUGAAUCUGCUAAAUAUCAAACUGGCCCACAGCCCUUUAAACACAGCAGUGUUCAAAGGAAUCUGUGUGUGCAUUCAGCUGUGAGUUAUCAGAUGUUCAGUCCUCAGGUGAUGAAAGAUUGAAUACCUAGUUACACAGGUAAACCAGCCCUCUGACUCCAGUGUUAAAAGAGAUACUGACAUAGGCUCCUUUUGCAAACCCAUUUUUUUUAGAACUAGGAAGUAA
Long non-coding RNA from Anolis carolinensis (green anole), 1614 nucleotides. RefSeq lists it as uncharacterized. The transcript has 3 exons. The record is from RefSeq and is a predicted model, not a curated record. Lineage: Eukaryota; Metazoa; Chordata; Lepidosauria; Squamata; Anolidae.